Non-coding RNA from Paramarasmius palmivorus, 84 nucleotides. The record is from the annotation of a GenBank genome assembly. NCBI's taxonomy places the organism in Eukaryota, Fungi, Basidiomycota, Agaricomycetes, Agaricales, Marasmiaceae.
GGGCACAUAGCGUAGGGGUUAUCGCGUUCGCUUUGCACUUUCUGGGCAUGCGAAAGGUCCCCGGUUCAAUUCCGGGUGUGUCCA